RNAcentral lists this ribosomal RNA (206 nucleotides) under Clostridioides difficile. RNAcentral's name for it is "partial 23S ribosomal RNA". It matches the Rfam family "Bacterial large subunit ribosomal RNA", at positions 1189 to 1402 of the family's 2925-position model. The record is from RNAcentral. Lineage: Bacteria; Bacillati; Bacillota; Clostridia; Peptostreptococcales; Peptostreptococcaceae.
UACUACCGAAGCUACGGCAUCAGUAAUGAUGGGUAGGGGAGCUUCCCAUACGGGUUGAAGCAUGACCGUAAGGACAUGUGGACAGUAUGGGAGUGAGAAUGUUGGCAUGAGUAGCGAGAUGUGGGUGAGAAUCCCACAGGCCGUAAACCCAAGGUUUCCAGGGGAAGGUUCGUCAGCCCUGGGCUAGUCGGGACCUAAGCUGAGGC